AAAAAAAAAAAAAAAAAAAAUAUAUAUAUAUAUAUAUAUAAUAAUUUUUUUUUUGAGAUGGAGUUUUGGCUCUUGUUGCUCAGGCUGGAGUGCAAUGGCAUGAUCUCGGCUCACUACAACCUCUGCCUCCCACGCACGUUCAAGCGAUUCUCAUGCCUCAGCCUCCCGAGUAGCUGGGACUACAGGCGUGCACCACUACUCCCGGCUAAUUUUUGUAUUUUUAGUAGAGACGGGGUUUCACCAUGUGGGCCAGGCUGGUCUCAAACUCCUGACCUCAGGUGAUCUGCCCACCUCAGCCUCCCAAAGUGCUGGGAUUACAGGCGUGAGCCACCAUGCCCAGCCUGUAAAUUAUAUUUUAUAAAGUAAUAAAUACUCAAUUUUUUUCCUAAUUAUUUUAUUCUAUUAUUACCUGUGCUUUUGUGGUUAUUUGCUGCUUUGUGUGUGUGUGCGUUGGGGAGUGUAUUAGUUCUUUUUCAUACUGCUAUUUUCAUACUGCUAUGAAGAAAUACCUGAGACUAGGUAAUUUGUAAAGAAAAAGAGAUUUAAUGGACUCACAGUUCCACAUGGCUGGGGAGGUCUCACAAUCAUGGUAGAAGGCGAAGGAGGAGCAAAGGCACAUUUUACAUGGUGGCAGGCGAGAGAGCCUGUGUAAGGGAACUGUCCUUUAUAAAACCUUCAGGUCUUGGGAGACUUAUUCACUAUCAUGAGAACAGCAUGGGGAAAACCUGCCCCUGUGAUUCAAUUACCUCCCACCACGUCCCUCCCAUGACAUGCAGGGAUUAUGGGAGCUACAAUUCAAGAUGAGAUUUGGGUGGGGACGCAGCCAAACCAUAUCAAGGGGUGUGAGUGUGGGUGUGGGUGUGUGUGUAAUGUACGUAGUGGUGUGCUACUGCAUAUCUCAACUCCAUUCAGUGAUGUCACAUUGGCAGCUUGAAAUUGGCCAGAGUGAGAGUAUUUAUAUCACAGAAAUUGGCAAACACUGCAAAUCAGAAUCUUUUCCCCUGAAGAGCCUGUUUACCAGCACACCACUGGGAAUCCAGCAAUGAGCAACUCAGUCCCUCCCUUUGAACUUACAUUUUGGUGUGAUGGCGCUCCAGGACUGAUCUUAGUGUCCUCAUUGCUGAGGGGCAGCUGCUGGGCAGGGCCUGCUUUGGUGAUAGAGGUUGUAAAUUGCCCUCAAAUCACAGGAGCUCUCCAUUCCAGCAAGUGAGUUGUUACCAUGCACCAGGAAGAGAGGAAAUGGGACAAGGAGGAAAUUCAGUUAAUUGAGAGCUGACUUUGCCAUUGAGUAACCCUAUUCAGGAUGACUCAGGCAUCUGGGAGGAAAAGCAGCAGUGGUGUCUGAGGACAGACCGUGGACAAAUUAAGUAGCUUGGGGCUUGUGGAGUUGUGAUGUCCAGGACAUGGGUGGCUAGAGCUGACAUAGGCAACAGUGGGCAUGACCUGUCCAUAUGGAUUCAGGACCUGCAUGAGAGAGUAGAGGCAUGAAUUAUUGAGAGUUCAGUCUGGCUCUGGUGUCAGGUGAAUCAAAAGUCUGCAGGGCUUGAAACAGAGUAGGGGAAGCAUUGAACCUUCCUCAAGUCAGGAGGCACAGCAUCAUCUGGGUGCCAGCAAAGGAAAUCUGACAAACCUCACCUGUCAGGGGCCUUGUGCUGUGUGGAUCACCCUGCUUCCCUAAAAAUCUUUGAGGUUUCUUGGUAGUUUCCUGCUGUCCCUGAAGCUUGCUGGUCUUCCAGCCCCUGCAUCUGUGGCUGGUGGAUUCUCAAAAAAAAUCCAUGUUAAUAUCAAGCACAAAACUUAAUUGGGAAGAGGGGUCUCCUGUUCUCCCCCCAUUGCUAAUUGAUACCAGAAAAGCUGCUUCUGUCCUUCAUUUAGGCAGAUAAUUGAGAACUUGUUUGCUUAAAGGCAACUGAUUUUGACUUUAUGCCUAUAGGUGCCAGAUAUUUUUCAUGCAUCAAUUCAUUUAAUUUCCAUGCCGAUCCUGCAAGUACGUCCUAUUUUCCGAUCUUAUCGAUGAGGAAAUUGAGUCUCAGAGACUUAUCCAAGGGCACUGUGUUUGUAAGUGGCAGGAUUUGAACCCGGCAGGCCCUGAGAUCUUUCUGCAGUCCCGUGCUCCCCUCCUUUAUGCGGUUUUCCUUUUCCCUUUGAGGAGGGGAGGGAGAGAUUCAUCACAUGCCUGGAAUCUCAGCACACUUUGCCUUUCUUAGUUCGGAGUUAAUGUAUGUUUUUUUAAUUCAGUGUUGGCAAGGCCCAGUCUGGUCAUAGCUGGGUUUGUUACCUUGUGGCUCAGGGGCAAGGAUGAGAAUAGAAUUCUGGUACCCACACGGGCUCCCUAGGCCUGGUGUCAGGAAAGAGCUAAUACUAAUGGCUCAUAAUUGCAGAGUGGCAGGCACCUUGGUAGUGCAUGGCUCGUGGGAGCUUUCUCAGUUCUCAGCUACUCCAAGAGGUGGGGUGCAUCAUUAUCUCUGUUUUGCCUCCAUUGAACUUGCCCAGGGUUGAGCAACCAAGAGUUAGAAGCACCACAUUCUGCUCGCCCCGGAGUCCUGCCUCUCCACUCUUGUGUCUUUCCUUGAGCAGCGCCAACCCUCCCAGGGCCUGGCCCGGCUGUGCCUUUGACAGCCCCUAGCAGCAGUGCCCAUAUGCUAUGGAAAAUGGGGAAGGAUAAUUGACCACUUGGCCACAGGCCCAGGGUCUGCCCACCUCUUGGUUAGAGCCAGCACUGAGCUCCCUGCCAUGGGGUUCAUCUUCCCACUGGCCUGUUGGUUGAGAGGAUGGUCUCAGACCAGGCCCCAACACCACCUUCUUGCAGAUACAUCCCCAGUCCAGGGCAGUGCAGGUGGUUUGUGAUGGUGCCAGCCCAUGUUGGCAUGUUGGGCCCAAGAUGAGGUGGCAUUUCUGAGUUUUGGAACCCCUCUUUCUCCUUGAGAGCCUGGCCCCAGAGUGCCCUCCUCUCUGUAAAAGUCCUGGUUCUAGUCGCUGGCUGAUUGGUAUGCAUCCCAGAAUCCCGGCCAUUAGCAUACAAGGCGGGAGCCAGCUCUCAUUACUCCCCUCUCUUCAUUGUUUGAAGUGGGCAGACUUGGAGUGAGCUUUGGAAAUGUGGGCUUUUUAUUCAAUUUCCCUAGAAAAACAAUGGUUAAAUUAAGUAGGAAAAUAACAGUCUCCCGAAAUUGAAGAAAAAUAUUCCUGAACCUAGACAUUACCCACAACCUUUGAAUUUCUUUUAAAACAGGCAUUUGUUUUACUUUAAGUUAUACAUGUAUCGCAUGACCACUGAAG
This 3276-nucleotide long non-coding RNA is filed under the name Homo sapiens (human). Its description in RNAcentral is "non-protein coding lnc-ARHGEF10L-1:1". Lineage: Eukaryota; Metazoa; Chordata; Mammalia; Primates; Hominidae. The record is from RNAcentral.